Molecule: long non-coding RNA, 754 nt
Filed under: Homo sapiens (human)
Lineage: Eukaryota; Metazoa; Chordata; Mammalia; Primates; Hominidae
Description: HSALNT0297019
Source: RNAcentral
GGCCAAGGCUUCUUGAAAGGCUGGUCAUGCCCCAGUGAUCAAUGAAGAACUCAGGGAUAUCCCAAAACUCAGGACUAUAAGGCACAAUGGGGGAGCAGGUACCAGGUGGCCAGCAUCCUAAAUGACUCUCAGCAGCUGCAGAGAAGUAUAGAAUGCUGGGGCCCUUCCAUUACUCCAUGCACUGGGGAAGAACUAGAAUUGUGAGAAGAGCUUUCACGCUCCCAUAACCAUUCCUUGGCCCACCUCCAAGAAAAGGCAGGCUGGCCUCUGUUUAGGUGUUGUCUGUGCUUGCAUUCCCAACGUUGACAUGAGGAAUUAUCAAUGGGUUCCGGACAUAAUCAGCCACACGGCAGAGUGAAUUCCAGGAGUGUAAAUAACAAGAGCUGCCUAUAAAUCUACCUCAGAAGACAAAGGGAAAAGCAAAACUCUGCCCAGGAAGACCUUACUUUACAAACCAGCUCAACCAUAUUUACCAGCCUUCCUGUGGUCAUUUGUCUGAGCUCCAGCUAGUGAAGUAUGAGUAGAACGGACAUGCACCACUUCCAGACCUGGCACCGGCAAACCCCCCAUGGCAACCCUCCAACCCUUUCCUCAACAACUGGACCACGCUGGAAAGGACUGAGGAUCUAGAGGAGGACAGGGCUGUAAUAUGGAAGGAGUUUGGUUUCUGAAGGACCAUGUAGCAGGCCACCUGCAGGGCGGGAACAUCUUUAAUAGGUUUGGAAUAGCAAGAAAUAAACUGGUCUUGUAUUAA